GACGAACUGCCCUAACGUUGUUCGGAAUCACUGGGCCUAAAGGGCGCGUAGGCGGCGAAUCAAGUCAGGGGUGAAAUCCGGCAGCUCAACUGUCGAAGUGCCUUUGAUACUGAUUUGCUCGAGGGAGGUAGGGGUCUGUGGAACUUCUGGUGGAGCGGUGAAAUGCGUUGAUAUCAGAAGGAACGCCGGUGGCGAAAGCGACGGACUGGACCUUUUCUGACGCUGAGGCGCGAAAGCUAGGGGAGCAAACGGG
Molecule: ribosomal RNA, 253 nt
Filed under: uncultured bacterium
Lineage: Bacteria
Description: partial 16S ribosomal RNA
Rfam family: Bacterial small subunit ribosomal RNA
Source: RNAcentral